Molecule: ribosomal RNA, 49 nt
Filed under: Microphallus abortivus
Lineage: Eukaryota; Metazoa; Platyhelminthes; Trematoda; Plagiorchiida; Microphallidae
Description: partial 28S ribosomal RNA
Source: RNAcentral
CGCUGAACUUAAGCAUAUCACUAAGCGGAGGAAAAGAAACUACCCAGGA